This is a long non-coding RNA of Gossypium raimondii (Peruvian cotton), 350 nucleotides long. RefSeq lists it as uncharacterized. Lineage: Eukaryota; Viridiplantae; Streptophyta; Magnoliopsida; Malvales; Malvaceae. The record is from RefSeq and is a predicted model, not a curated record. The transcript has 2 exons.
AGGUUAACAGAUUGCUUAUUAUUUACAUAUCAACUUACUAAGCUUUAUAGCUUACUUUGUGUUAUUUUUCUAUGUUUAUAGUGUUCCAAAGGCUCGCUCGGGUUGGAAAUCGUCGGAGAUCCCGUCACACUAUCCAGCUAUGGUUUCAGUACUUAAAAGGGUUGACCCUUAUGGUUGGAGAAUUGGCCUUGCAAAUGGCCUAUAUUCGUCCAAAUGGCUGUUCACAUGGGCGUGAGACGUCUGGUACUUAGAAAAUUCUUAAAGUUUCGAAAAUUUUUAUGUGAAACCAGUUUUGUACCGAACUUUCUUAAAAGCAUGUUUUAGAUCUCGUAGACCUAUUUAAGGGAUAA